AUCCAACUGAUGAGUCUCAAAUAAGACGAAAUGCGAGUUCUGGAU
Molecule: non-coding RNA, 45 nt
Organism: Schistosoma haematobium
Lineage: Eukaryota; Metazoa; Platyhelminthes; Trematoda; Strigeidida; Schistosomatidae
Source: Rfam